RNAcentral lists this long non-coding RNA (939 nucleotides) under Homo sapiens (human). RNAcentral's name for it is "HSALNT0026485". The record is from RNAcentral. Lineage: Eukaryota; Metazoa; Chordata; Mammalia; Primates; Hominidae.
GGAGGCAGACAGAGAGAAAGCCUGAGGGGCUCCCUCUGCACACGCUCAGCUGUGCCCCGCAGCCCCAGCGCCUCUCCCUAGGUGAUGCAUUAUUCACCAGCCCCCUUCAGCUGAGUCAGGAGGAGCUGAGACAGGACAGCGCCGCGGCGAAAACGCAGACGAUGACAAAGCCUGCUUUACCGACGGUCCCGGGGUAUUGCAGGGAAAGGCAGCCCCCCUCCAAGGCAUUACAAUCCCUCAUGAAAAAUCUCUCCGGGGAUCACAGGAUGCUGCCGGCAGCUGGGGAGGCUCUUGCUGGGGCCGACGGGAGCCUGUGUGGCAGGGUGGCUUCUCCCUCCACCCCCUUCAGCCCUUCCAGCACCCUCGGUGCCUGCCCUCUGGAUCCUUAACAAAGAAGAACCCUGCCUCCUUCAGCGCCUGAAGCCGGGGGAGGUGCAGGUUGAGCUGGGAAGAAAUGGGGAGCAGGGUCCGGGCUGUUUCAGACCUUCAUGGAGGACCCAGGGAAAGAAGAGCCCCCAGAGGGAUUCGUGGACACAGCGUGACCUGCGGGCCCCUGGGCUGCGCCUGCCGUCCAUCAUGUCAGGAGGAGGAGAAGGAGAGCACGAGGCGUGUGUGUGUGUGUGUGUGUGUGUGUGUGUGUGUGUGUGUGUGUGUGUUUAAAGAAUGUUAAUUCAUACUGAGAUCCUAGGGAAUAUUUUCCUAACUAGGACAGACUUGGGAAUAAAUAACGUGCUUAUAUAGCUGGGUCUCCCCUCCCCUUCCUUUCUCCCACUCACUUAACACACACACACGUGUGCGCACAUAGACACACGCACACACGUGCACACACAUUGCUAGUUACUAAAGCUAGCCUGUGGGGCAAGGAAAAGCUGACCUUGAGAAAUGCAGUUUUCAAUUCCAGCUGAAGCCCACGUGAGGAGCCUGUGCCUGGCACUCCAG